GACGUAGGGCGCGAGCGUUGUCCGGAUUUAUUGGGCGUAAAGAGCUCGUAGGCGGCUUGUCGCGUCGACCGUGAAAACUUGGGGCUCAACCCCAAGCCUGCGGUCGAUACGGGCAGGCUCGAGUUCGGUAGGGGAGACUGGAAUUCCUGGUGUAGCGGUGAAAUGCGCAGAUAUCAGGAGGAACACCGGUGGCGAAGGCGGGUCUCUGGGCCGUAACUGACGCUGAGGAGCGAAAGCGUGGGGAGCGAACAGG
This 253-nucleotide ribosomal RNA is filed under the name uncultured bacterium. Its description in RNAcentral is "partial 16S ribosomal RNA". It matches the Rfam family "Bacterial small subunit ribosomal RNA", at positions 524 to 776 of the family's 1533-position model. The record is from RNAcentral.